UGGGGAAUAUUGCACAAUGGGCGCACGCCUGAUGCAGCCAUGCCGCGUGUAUGAAGAAGGCCUUCGGGUUGUAAAGUACUUUCAGCGGGGAGGAAGGCGAUAAGGUUAAUAACCUUGUCGAUUGACGUUACCCGCAGAAGAAGCACCGGCUAACUCCGUGCCAGCAGCCGCGGUAAUACGGAGGGUGCAAGCGUUAAUCGGAAUUACUGGGCGUAAAGCGCACGCAGGCGGUCUGUCAAGUCGGAUGUGAAAUCCCCGGGCUCAACCUGGGAACUGCAUUCGAAACUGGCAGGCUAGAGUCUUGUAGAGGGGGGUAGAAUUCCAGGUGUAGCGGUGAAAUGCGUAGAGAUCUGGAGGAAUACCGGUGGCGAAGGCGGCCCCCUGGACAAAGACUGACGCUCAGGUGCGAAAGCGUGGGGAGCAAACA
RNAcentral lists this ribosomal RNA (427 nucleotides) under uncultured bacterium. RNAcentral describes it as "partial 16S ribosomal RNA". It matches the Rfam family "Bacterial small subunit ribosomal RNA", at positions 355 to 774 of the family's 1533-position model. The record is from RNAcentral.